This 995-nucleotide ribosomal RNA is filed under the name uncultured bacterium. RNAcentral's name for it is "bacterial SSU rRNA". It matches the Rfam family "Bacterial small subunit ribosomal RNA", at positions 355 to 1375 of the family's 1533-position model. The record is from RNAcentral.
UGGGGAAUAUUGCACAAUGGGGGAAACCCUGAUGCAGCGACGCCGCGUGGAGGAAGAAGGUCUUCGGAUUGUAAACUCCUGUUGUUGAGGAAGAUAAUGACGGUACUCAACAAGGAAGUGACGGCUAACUACGUGCCAGCAGCCGCGGUAAAACGUAGGUCACAAGCGUUGUCCGGAAUUACUGGGUGUAAAGGGAGCGCAGGCGGGAAGACAAGUUGGAAGUGAAAUCCAUGGGCUCAACCCAUGAACUGCUUUCAAAACUGUUUUUCUUGAGUAGUGCAGAGGUAGGCGGAAUUCCCGGUGUAGCGGUGGAAUGCGUAGAUAUCGGGAGGAACACCAGUGGCGAAGGCGGCCUACUGGGCACCAACUGACGCUGAGGCUCGAAAGUGUGGGUAGCAAACAGGAUUAGAUACCCUGGUAGUCCACACCGUAAACGAUGAUUACUAGGUGUUGGAGGAUUGACCCCUUCAGUGCCGCAGUUAACACAAUAAGUAAUCCACCUGGGGAGUACGACCGCAAGGUUGAAACUCAAAGGAAUUGACGGGGGCCCGCACAAGCAGUGGAGUAUGUGGUUUAAUUCGACGCAACGCGAAGAACCUUACCAAGUCUUGACAUCCUGCGACGGUGCUGGAAACAGUACUUUCCUUCGGGACGCAGAGACAGGUGGUGCAUGGUUGUCGUCAGCUCGUGUCGUGAGAUGUUGGGUUAAGUCCCGCAACGAGCGCAACCCUUAUGGUCAGUUACUACGCAAGAGGACUCUGGCCAGACUGCCGUUGACAAAACGGAGGAAGGUGGGGAUGACGUCAAAUCAUCAUGCCCUUUAUGACUUGGGCUACACACGUACUACAAUGGCGUUAAACAAAGAGAAGCAAGACCGCGAGGUGGAGCAAAACUCAGAAACAACGUCCCAGUUCGGAUUGUAGUCUGCAACUCGACUACAUGAAGCUGGAAUCGCUAGUAAUCGCAGAUCAGAAUGCUGCGGUGAAUACGUUUCC